GAGCCCGUGGCGCAACGGUAGCGCGUCGGAUUCCAGACCCGAAGGUUGCGCGUUCAAAUCGCGUCGGGCUCA
Molecule: non-coding RNA, 72 nt
Organism: Ditylenchus destructor
Lineage: Eukaryota; Metazoa; Nematoda; Chromadorea; Rhabditida; Anguinidae
Source: the annotation of a GenBank genome assembly